AGAAUCAACGCUGGCGGCGUGCCUAACACAUGCAAGUCGAACGAGAAAGUGGGAGCAAUCCCACGAGUAAAGUGGCGCACGGGUGAGUAACACGUGACUAACCUACCCUUGAGUGGGGGAUAACCUAGGGAAACCUGGGCUAAUACCGCAUAAUACCUACGGGUCAAAGGAGCAAUUCGCUUUAGGAGGGGGUCGCGGCAGAUUAGUUAGUUGGCGGGGUAAUGGCCCACCAAGACAGUGAUCUGUAUCCGGCCUGAGAGGGCGCACGGACACACUGGAACUGAAACACGGUCCAGACUCCUACGGGAGGCAGCAGUGGGGAAUUUGCGCAAUGGGGGAAACCCUGACGCAGCAACGCCGCGUGGAGGAUGAAGCCCCUUGGGGCGUAAACUCCUUUCGAUCGGAAGAUAAUGACGGUACCGGAAGAAGAAGCCCCGGCUAACUUCGCGCCAGCAGCCGC
RNAcentral lists this ribosomal RNA (460 nucleotides) under uncultured bacterium. Its description in RNAcentral is "SSU rRNA". It matches the Rfam family "Bacterial small subunit ribosomal RNA", at positions 26 to 518 of the family's 1533-position model. The record is from RNAcentral.